UUAGAAAUAAAUGUAUUGUUUCUUUUAUUAAUUUGCUUUUUUUAACAGGAUAGAGAUAGGAAAGACCACUUGGAACAAAGCUAUUAAUGCAGACAAGUCCGACUAUGGAAACAUAGUAGAUCUCACAUACUUUGAUACAGAUUCUCCUAUACUCUCACCACAUUAUGUGCCAUCAUCAGCCACGAAAUUCUGACCGAGUCAAAGAUCACCACUUUUGUCCCAUCGUCAUUGACCACUUAGUCCAAGAGAAAAAGAUCUGACAGAAACCAGUACUCAAAAACAUGACAUCACCCCAACCCCAAUUCUCUGUGUGUAAGGAUUAAAGAGAUUGAUUGUGCAAUACAGUUUUUACUGAGCGUGAUGCGGGACAAGCAGAAGAAAUAUAACAAACACGCUGACCAGUUUCAGCGGAUCUCGGAGACGCUCUCCAUUCUUAAUCGGGUCAAGGACAGCAUGCAGAACCUGGUCCCCAAGAUGGAACGCUUGAACCAGAU
Saccostrea cuccullata (small rock oyster) is the source of this 494-nucleotide long non-coding RNA. RefSeq lists it as uncharacterized. NCBI's taxonomy places the organism in Eukaryota, Metazoa, Mollusca, Bivalvia, Ostreida, Ostreidae. The transcript has 3 exons. The record is from RefSeq and is a predicted model, not a curated record.